GUGCUCGCCCGGGCAGCAUGUGUACUAAAACUGUGGCACAGAGAAGAUGAGCAGAAGAUUAGCACGGCCCCUGCACAAGAUAACAGGCAAAUUCAUGAAGCAAUCCAUAUUUUA
This 114-nucleotide small nuclear RNA is filed under the name Canis lupus familiaris (dog). RNAcentral also lists the same sequence under 1 other name. Lineage: Eukaryota; Metazoa; Chordata; Mammalia; Carnivora; Canidae. The record is from RNAcentral.